CAGCUGGGCAGAAAUUAAAGUCAUAGCAAAACUUGUUUACUAAGAGAGGGGUACUUGACUCUACCCAUUUACAGUGAUGUCUAACAUUUGCGGCGGGCAUUAUGAUUGAAACUGCAUUUUCCUGUCUACAUCUAUUUAUUGUUAACCUGAGAAGAACAUCAUGCAAAAGGGUGUCAUCAGGCAUAUCCAUCGGCAGGCCGCAUAAGCAAAGGUGUCACCACCCCUGGG
RNAcentral lists this long non-coding RNA (228 nucleotides) under Fukomys damarensis (Damara mole-rat). RNAcentral's name for it is "lncRNA (ENSFDAG00000026783.1)". Lineage: Eukaryota; Metazoa; Chordata; Mammalia; Rodentia; Bathyergidae. The record is from RNAcentral.